RNAcentral lists this ribosomal RNA (1493 nucleotides) under Escherichia coli. RNAcentral describes it as "partial 23S ribosomal RNA". It matches the Rfam family "Bacterial large subunit ribosomal RNA", at positions 1443 to 2916 of the family's 2925-position model. Lineage: Bacteria; Pseudomonadati; Pseudomonadota; Gammaproteobacteria; Enterobacterales; Enterobacteriaceae. The record is from RNAcentral.
ACUUGGUGUUACUGCGAAGGGGGGACGGAGAAGGCUAUGUUGGCCGGGCGACGGUUGUCCCGGUUUAAGCGUGUAGGCUGGUUUUCCAGGCAAAUCCGGAAAAUCAAGGCUGAGGCGUGAUGACGAGGCACUACGGUGCUGAAGCAACAAAUGCCCUGCUUCCAGGAAAAGCCUCUAAGCAUCAGGUAACAUCAAAUCGUACCCCAAACCGACACAGGUGGUCAGGUAGAGAAUACCAAGGCGCUUGAGAGAACUCGGGUGAAGGAACUAGGCAAAAUGGUGCCGUAACUUCGGGAGAAGGCACGCUGAUAUGUAGGUGAAGCGACUUGCUCGUGGAGCUGAAAUCAGUCGAAGAUACCAGCUGGCUGCAACUGUUUAUUAAAAACACAGCACUGUGCAAACACGAAAGUGGACGUAUACGGUGUGACGCCUGCCCGGUGCCGGAAGGUUAAUUGAUGGGGUCAGCGCAAGCGAAGCUCUUGAUCGAAGCCCCGGUAAACGGCGGCCGUAACUAUAACGGUCCUAAGGUAGCGAAAUUCCUUGUCGGGUAAGUUCCGACCUGCACGAAUGGCGUAAUGAUGGCCAGGCUGUCUCCACCCGAGACUCAGUGAAAUUGAACUCGCUGUGAAGAUGCAGUGUACCCGCGGCAAGACGGAAAGACCCCGUGAACCUUUACUAUAGCUUGACACUGAACAUUGAGCCUUGAUGUGUAGGAUAGGUGGGAGGCUUUGAAGUGUGGACGCCAGUCUGCAUGGAGCCGACCUUGAAAUACCACCCUUUAAUGUUUGAUGUUCUAACGUUGACCCGUAAUCCGGGUUGCGGACAGUGUCUGGUGGGUAGUUUGACUGGGGCGGUCUCCUCCUAAAGAGUAACGGAGGAGCACGAAGGUUGGCUAAUCCUGGUCGGACAUCAGGAGGUUAGUGCAAUGGCAUAAGCCAGCUUGACUGCGAGCGUGACGGCGCGAGCAGGUGCGAAAGCAGGUCAUAGUGAUCCGGUGGUUCUGAAUGGAAGGGCCAUCGCUCAACGGAUAAAAGGUACUCCGGGGAUAACAGGCUGAUACCGCCCAAGAGUUCAUAUCGACGGCGGUGUUUGGCACCUCGAUGUCGGCUCAUCACAUCCUGGGGCUGAAGUAGGUCCCAAGGGUAUGGCUGUUCGCCAUUUAAAGUGGUACGCGAGCUGGGUUUAGAACGUCGUGAGACAGUUCGGUCCCUAUCUGCCGUGGGCGCUGGAGAACUGAGGGGGGCUGCUCCUAGUACGAGAGGACCGGAGUGGACGCAUCACUGGUGUUCGGGUUGUCAUGCCAAUGGCACUGCCCGGUAGCUAAAUGCGGAAGAGAUAAGUGCUGAAAGCAUCUAAGCACGAAACUUGCCCCGAGAUGAGUUCUCCCUGACUCCUUGAGAGUCCUGAAGGAACGUUGAAGACGACGACGUUGAUAGGCCGGGUGUGUAAGCGCAGCGAUGCGUUGAGCUAACCGGUACUAAUGAACCGUGAGG